AUUGAACGCUAGCGGGAUGCUUUACACAUGCAAGUCGAACGGCAGCGCGGACUUCGGUCUGGCGGCGAGUGGCGAACGGGUGAGUAAUGUAUCGGAACGUGCCCAGUAGCGGGGGAUAACUACGCGAAAGCGUAGCUAAUACCGCAUACGCCCUACGGGGGGAAAGCAGGGGAUCGUAAGACCUUGCACUAUUGGAGCGGCCGAUAUCGGAUUAGCUAGUUGGUGAGGUAACGGCUCACCAAGGCGACGAUCCGUAGCUGGUUUGAGAGGACGACCAGCCACACUGGGACUGAGACACGGCCCAGACUCCUACGGGAGGCAGCAGUGGGGAAUUUUGGACAAUGGGGGCAACCCUGAUCCAGCCAUCCCGCGUGUGCGAUGAAGGCCUUCGGGUUGUAAAGCACUUUUGGCAGGAAAGAAACGUCGCGGGCUAAUACCCCGUGGAACUGACGGUACCUGCAGAAUAAGCACCGGCUAACUACGUG
RNAcentral lists this ribosomal RNA (485 nucleotides) under uncultured bacterium. Its description in RNAcentral is "partial 16S ribosomal RNA". It matches the Rfam family "Bacterial small subunit ribosomal RNA", at positions 30 to 507 of the family's 1533-position model. The record is from RNAcentral.